This 102-nucleotide transfer RNA is filed under the name Rhodospirillaceae bacterium. RNAcentral's name for it is "tRNA-Ala". Lineage: Bacteria; Pseudomonadati; Pseudomonadota; Alphaproteobacteria; Rhodospirillales; Rhodospirillaceae. The record is from RNAcentral.
GCCUUGGUGGCGGAAAUGGCAGACGCAGAGGAAUGGCAGUCCUCCGGCCCCUGCAGCUAAUCCCUGCAUGCCGUCCGGGUUCGAGCCCCGGCCAAGGCACCA